GGAUUAGAUACCNUGGUAGUNCACGCCGUAAACGAUGUCGACUUGGAGGUUGUGCCCUUGAGGCGUGGCUUCCGGAGCUAACGCGUUAAGUCGACCGCCUGGGGAGUACGGCCGCAAGGUUAAAACUCAAAUGAAUUGACGGGGGCCCGCACAAGCGGUGGAGCAUGUGGUUUAAUUCGAUGCAACGCGAAGAACCUUACCUACUCUUGACAUCCAGAGAACUUAGCAGAGAUGCUUUGGUGCCUUCGGGAACUCUGAGACAGGUGCUGCAUGGCUGUCGUCAGCUCGUGUUGUGAAAUGUUGGGUUAAGUCCCGCAACGAGCGCAACCCUUAUCCUUUGUUGCCAGCGGUCCGGCCGGGAACUCAAAGGAGACUGCCAGUGAUAAACUGGAGGAAGGUGGGGAUGACGUCAAGUCAUCAUGGCCCUUACGAGUAGGGCUACACACGUGCUACAAUGGCGCAUACAAAGAGAAGCGACCUCGCGAGAGCAAGCGGACCUCAUAAAGUGCGUCGUAGUCCGGAUUGGAGUCUGCAACUCGACUCCAUGAAGUCGGAAUCGCUAGUAAUCGUAGAUCAGAAUGCUACGGUGAAUACGUUCCCGGGCCUUGUACACACCGCCCGUCACACCAUGGGAGUGGGUUGCAAAAGAAGUAGGUAGCUUAACCUUCGGGAGGGCGCUUACCACUUUGUGAUUCAUGACUGGGGUGAAGUCGUAACAAGGUAA
Molecule: ribosomal RNA, 724 nt
Filed under: Enterobacteriaceae bacterium
Lineage: Bacteria; Pseudomonadati; Pseudomonadota; Gammaproteobacteria; Enterobacterales; Enterobacteriaceae
Description: bacterial SSU rRNA
Rfam family: Bacterial small subunit ribosomal RNA
Source: RNAcentral